Molecule: unclassified non-coding RNA, 231 nt
Filed under: Chytridiomycota sp.
Lineage: Eukaryota; Fungi; Chytridiomycota
Description: partial contains small subunit ribosomal RNA, internal transcribed spacer 1, and 5.8S ribosomal RNA
Rfam family: Eukaryotic small subunit ribosomal RNA (bases 1-47)
Source: RNAcentral
AAAGUCGUAACAAGGUAACCGUAGGUGAACCUGCGGUUGGAUCAUUAAAAAUAUCUUGAUUGGCUUUGGUGGUUUUCGCCAUUGAGCCCUCACGGGUUCUGGCUGAGAUCAUCAAAAACACGCCAUGACACACCUUUGUGAACCAUUGAAACACACUUUGUUAUUGUUUACCACUGAAAAUUUUGAGAUACAAAUGAGAAACAACUUUAGACAACGGAUCUCUUGGCUCUC